This 82-nucleotide transfer RNA is filed under the name Gadus morhua (Atlantic cod). RNAcentral describes it as "tRNA-Ser (TGA) (tRNA-Ser-TGA-12-1)". It matches the Rfam family "tRNA". Rfam says of the family: Transfer RNA (tRNA) molecules are approximately 80 nucleotides in length. Lineage: Eukaryota; Metazoa; Chordata; Actinopteri; Gadiformes; Gadidae. The record is from Rfam by way of RNAcentral.
GCUGUGAUGGCCGUGUGGUUAAGGCGUUGGACUUGAAAUACAAUGGGAAUUGCCCGAGCAGGUUCAAAUCCUGCUCACAGAG